UGUGGGCCUAAAAGCCUACAUCUACCUAUUGGCUGACAUGCAUUUAGUAUACCGUUCAAGGUAAAUCAAGGAUUGUCCAACUUAGGCAGAAUGAAUUAUAUGUUACAGCCAGUAUCUAAACUCCAGAUCAGAAUGCCUAAGACCAUGUUUAUGGAUAUUUGUGUGCAUAAAACAGCCCUGCCAG
Non-coding RNA from Ochotona princeps (American pika), 184 nucleotides. NCBI's taxonomy places the organism in Eukaryota, Metazoa, Chordata, Mammalia, Lagomorpha, Ochotonidae. The record is from Rfam.